UAAUACGUAGGGAGCAAGCGUUGUCCGGAAUCAUUGGGCGUAAAGCGCGCGUAGGUGGCCACAUAAGUCCGUUGUGAAAGUCAAAGGCUCAACCUUUGAAAGCCGAUGGAUACUGUGUGGCUAGAGUACGGAAGAGGCGAGUGGAAUUCCUGGUGUAGCGGUGGAAUGCGCAGAUAUCAGGAGGAACACCAAUAGCGAAGGCAGCUCGCUGGGACGUUACUGACACUGAGGCGCGAAAGCGUGGGGAGCGAACAGGAUUAGAUACCCUGGUAGUCCACGCCGUAAACGAUGGGUACUAGGUGUGGGAGGUGUCGACUCCUCCCGUGCCGUCGCUAACGCACUAAGUACCCCGCCUGGGGAGUACGGCCGCAAGGCUA
Molecule: ribosomal RNA, 377 nt
Filed under: uncultured bacterium
Lineage: Bacteria
Description: bacterial SSU rRNA
Rfam family: Bacterial small subunit ribosomal RNA
Source: RNAcentral